This 281-nucleotide ribosomal RNA is filed under the name uncultured Hyphomicrobiales bacterium. RNAcentral's name for it is "uncultured Rhizobiales bacterium partial 16S ribosomal RNA". It matches the Rfam family "Bacterial small subunit ribosomal RNA", at positions 54 to 354 of the family's 1533-position model. The record is from RNAcentral. Lineage: Bacteria; Pseudomonadati; Pseudomonadota; Alphaproteobacteria; Hyphomicrobiales.
AGGCCUACCAUGCAGUCGAGCGCCCCGCUUGGGGAGCGGCAGACGGGAGAGUAACACGUGGGAACGUACCCUUUGGUUCGGAACAACCCAGGGAAACUUGGGCUAAUACCGGAUAAGCCCUUACGGGGAAAGAUUCAUCGCCGAAGGAUCGGCCCGCGUCUGAUUAGCUAGUUGGUGGGGUAACGGCCCACCAAGGCGACGAUCAGUAGCUGGUCUGAGAGGAUGAUCAGCCUCACUGGGACUGAGACACGGCCCAGACUCCUACGGGAGGCAGCAGUGGG